RNAcentral lists this ribosomal RNA (492 nucleotides) under uncultured bacterium. RNAcentral describes it as "partial 16S ribosomal RNA". It matches the Rfam family "Bacterial small subunit ribosomal RNA", at positions 29 to 507 of the family's 1533-position model. The record is from RNAcentral.
AGUGAACGCUGGCGGUAGGCCUAACACAUGCAAGUCGAACGGCAGCACAGUAAGAGCUUGCUCUUACGGGUGGCGAGUGGCGGACGGGUGAGGAAUACAUCGGAAUCUACUUUUUCGUGGGGGAUAACGUAGGGAAACUUACGCUAAUACCGCAUACGACCUACGGGUGAAAGCAGGGGAUCUUCGGACCUUGCGCGAUUGAAUGAGCCGAUGUCGGAUUAGCUAGUUGGCGGGGUAAAGGCCCACCAAGGCGACGAUCCGUAGCUGGUCUGAGAGGAUGAUCAGCCACACUGGAACUGAGACACGGUCCAGACUCCUAUGGGAGGCAGCAGUCGGGAAUAUUGGACAAUGGGCGAAAGCCUGAUCCAGCCAUACCGCGUGGGUGAAGAAGGCCUUCGGGUUUUAAAGCCCUUUUGUUGGGAAAGAAAAGCAGCAGGUUAAUACCCCGCUGUUCUGACGGUACCCAAAGAAUAAGCACCGGCUAACUUCGUG